Molecule: long non-coding RNA, 2546 nt
Organism: Papaver somniferum (opium poppy)
Lineage: Eukaryota; Viridiplantae; Streptophyta; Magnoliopsida; Ranunculales; Papaveraceae
Exons: 2
Source: RefSeq, a predicted model, not a curated record
UAGUAUUGAUCAAAUCGUCUUAGUAGAAAUGUAGAUUCACAAAUCUAACAUGGUAUCAGUCCUGAGAAUUUCAAUUCUCAAGGGUAUCGAUCCUUUCCGCUGCUAAAUCUUAAAUUCUUUACCAAUUUCUUCUGCUACUGUUGUUCUUCAUCAUCUUCAGUUAGGGUUUAUGAAAGAUUGAUUUCAAGAUUCAAGGAGUUUGUCAGAAGAGUUGCUACUGGUGAUUUCUUAGUGUGAAUUAGGGUUUGAUCCUGAUGCUUUACUGCAACGUCGUCAAAUUGGAUUAAGCGUGUAUAUUGGAUCUAAAAUUCAGUUUUAGGGUUUGAGCUCUUGGUUAUUUCAAUUUCCUGUUGGUGUAUGGAUUGAAAUCUCUUACCUCAUCAACUAUCACAUGAAUCUCUGCUGGUAAUCUCAAUCUUAACCUUUAGAUUACUUUAGAUUUGAUCUCAUGUGUUCAAUUUCUACAUCACCAUCUCAACAAAAUUCAAUUUGGUCUGCAAAUUCUGUUUUCAUCAUAACUUGGUAUGAUUUUGACCUAGUUCUUUUAUCAAAUCCUACCGGUACUGAUUCCUGGAUCUAUUCAGUCUGAGCAUGCCUAUUUAUGCUACAAUAGUUAGUUAGGAAGAAGCUUAAUGUUGUUCCAUUGAAUAGUGGGGAAAGAUUCUUCUUAAAUCCAGUAGAAUGUUGGGGUACGUGUGUGUGUUGAUUGUUUGCUGCUCCAUUGAGUGCUUAAUUUUGCUUCAAUUAGCUCCUCCUCUCAAUGUUAUUUUGGUACAGUCCUCACAAUAGUGGUAUGUGAGUGAGUCGGUUUGUGUGUGCAACGAUGGAACUGAGGAUGUUGUCUCGGGAUUAUAAUUGGUGAGAUAUAUAAGUACAGACUGAAGUUCUCUUUGAUGAGUCUGCAUUCAAUUGAGAAUGUGGCCUGCAAUCCUUUAUCCUUUAUCUUUUCUAUUGUUUUUCAUGUUGCUGAAUAAUGUCAGACUAUCUCUUGUUUGCUGGGUUUAUUAUUUCUUCUAUCGCAAAUAAUAUGGGUACUUUAAUAAGUGAUUUUCAAUAAGUUGCUUCAGCUUGAGUUUGCUAAAAUCAGUUGCAGUAGAGAGAGUAGAGGAUCUCAAUGAGUUACAAGAUGAUCAGGUGUUGUCAAAUGUUGCAAGAGGAUGGAAUUUUCAUUGUAUUUCUUAUUCUAAUGCUUUUUUCAGCCUAAGUGCAGCACCUACUUUUGAUUUGGCUACCUAUUAGUUCACACAUUUCGAUUAUCUUGCAAGCAGUAAUGUGUUGGUGAUGGUCAAAGUGCAUUCUUAUCCCAGUUGCUGCAUUCUUACACUAGUUAGCACUAGUCAGCGUUAGCAAGUGUGGUUGUGAUUUCCUAUUUCUUUUAUACUGCAGCAUAACAUAUAUAUCUCAUUAUGGUUUUGAAAAUCAAGUUCAAGCUAUUUCCUCUUGUCUGGUUUUCUAAUGGUGCUGGGAAUGAGCUUGUUAUGCUUGUGUUUGUCGAGAUAUGUACAUUUAUGCUUGUGAUGAGUUGUUGCAUCUAAUUGUAUCCUAUGGAGCAGAGUCAGCUGUCACGUCUUCUGGUUAUUCACUUUGGGUCUUUCACAACCAUGUAGAACACUUCAAGCAAGGCUAUCUGGUGUAGGGUAGCAUGAUCAUCAGUUGAUGAAUAGUUGGUUCUUGUCAUACUCGACUGCUUCUCAUGCUUAACAGUUUUACAGUGAGCAGUUAAUUUGAGUCUCCUUGGAUGCAGUGGGUUGGUUCUUGUUUGUUUGCGACAUCAUCAACUACGUUUAGAAGCUCCAAUAUGGUUUUGCUGAGUUACAAGUGAUGAAAUAUUAUAUGGUCUGCAGCAACAAGAACUCAUAACAGUUAUCAGUAUAUUCCAAUUUUGUGUUUCGUCAAGUUUGGCACUACAAUUACCACUACUUCUGUAAAACUAUUAAUGCUGCAUACACUGCUCCUGUGCUACUUACUUCUCUACAUCAACUUAUCCUGCACUACUCCAUCAAUUAUUUGCUAUUACCUGCAUAUUUCAGCUUUCACAUGCUGCUUGGGACCUUCUCACAGGAGAAGAGAAUAAUGGAAAUACGCAAGAAAAGUUAUCAAAACACGCGAGAAGUAGAAGGGAGUCACGUCUAUCAUUGCCGUCUAUUAAGGAAGGAAACAGAGAUUUAUUGGGACUUCAUUUUAUUUGGGCACCAUGUGUACUAAAUGAUUCAUGGAAAACGAGUAAAUAUCAAAGGCUACAUGGAAAUUAAGUGAGCAUCUAUGUGAAAUAGCCGCUAUAAAAAUGUAAAUGUUAGACAAAACUGUCUACUUAAAUAACCAAGAAUAGUGAUUCAUUUACAGAAAAGAAUAGGGAGGUAGGUUUGGUAAAGUUUAGAUCGUACAUUAUGGUAUUCCAAUGUAAAAAAUAUGGGAUAUUGGAGUAAACUAUGUGGACAACGAAGUCGACAAUACAUGGAUGGAUUUAUGUUGCUGUUUAACCACCAAAUUGAGACUUUGUUAAUCAGCUGAAUUCAUAACUUUUAAAUUUGAUUGCUUAUGGUGGA